AUGUUUUACGCUGUAAACGUUAUAUAUCAGGGAGUGUUUGUGGUGAACUUAUCCCACAAACAACCAAACAUACCCAAGCUAAGAUCUAAUGAGAUCAGUAUAUUGACAGACAGAUCUUCUGCAGUGUCCUCGUUUUUUUUUGUCUCCAGUCCACACAUGUUGAAAGUUCAUAAUAAUUUGGGCUGCCCUUGCAUGCAGAGACCCGAAGAGUUUUAUACUCCACAGUUAUCGAGAAUCUACACAUGUUGUCUCAUUCUAUACAGUGAAGAGUCUACCCACUAUGUACAAAUUACAAAUUAG
Molecule: ribosomal RNA, 300 nt
Filed under: Triticum aestivum (bread wheat)
Lineage: Eukaryota; Viridiplantae; Streptophyta; Magnoliopsida; Poales; Poaceae
Description: partial small subunit ribosomal RNA
Source: RNAcentral